This 464-nucleotide ribosomal RNA is filed under the name uncultured bacterium. RNAcentral's name for it is "bacterial SSU rRNA". It matches the Rfam family "Bacterial small subunit ribosomal RNA", at positions 339 to 794 of the family's 1533-position model. The record is from RNAcentral.
GUACGGGAGGCAGCAGCUAAGAAUCUUCCGCAAUGGGGGAAACCCUGACGGAGCGACGCCGCGUGGAUGAUGAAGGCCGUAAGGUUGUAAAAUCCUUUUGUUGGCGAAGAAUAAGGCGGGGAGUGGAAAGCCCCGCUGAUGACGUUAGCCGACGAAUAAGCCCCGGCUAAUUACGUGCCAGCAGCCGCGGUAAUACGUAUGGGGCAAGCGUUGUUCGGAGUUAUUGGGCGUAAAGGGCGUGUAGGCGGCUCAUCAAGUCUGGUGUGAAAUCGCAGGGCUUAACCCUGCAUAUGCGCUGGAAACUGGUGGGCUGGAGUUCUUGAGGGGAAGCUGGAAUUCCAGGUGUAGGGGUGAAAUCUGUAGAUAUCUGGAAGAACACCGGUGGCGAAGGCGAGCUUCUAUCAGAGGACUGACGCUGAGGCGCGAAAGCGUGGGGAGCAAACAGGAUUAGAUACCCCGGUAGC